UGAGUAUGGAAGUGCAUAACCAACCGACUUAGCGUAAGAUUAUAGCAAGUCUAACAUUACCUCAUAGGGCGCCUUAUUAUACAAGGCAACAGCCCUAAUAUUGGUGGCAGACUACAACAAGAACUCUACAACGUCUUCCAAAGAAAAACCAGAAUAAUGAAUAAUGUAUCAUCAGAAGUCAACGACGACGAAAGCAACAGAUUCUUCAAGCAACUUAGUAUCAUCGUUUAGUGAGCGACUUCAGAAAACAACAAGAACUCUUCAAUGUCUUCCGAAGAAUAACGAAUAAUGUAUCAUCAGAAGUCAACGACGACGAAAGCAACAGAUUCUUCAAGCAACUUAGUACCAUCGUUUAGUGAGCGACUUCAAAAAACAACGAGAACUCUUCAACGUCUUCCGAAGAAUAACGAAUAAUGUAUCAUCAGAAGUCAACGACGACGAAAGCAACAGAUUCUUCAAGCAACUUAGUAUCAUCGUUGAGUGAGCGUUUCCGGCACUUCAAGAAACAAACCGAACGUGUCUGCAGCAUCAGAUCUUCAAGGGCUCGAAUCAUCCAAACAACGCGCACGGGGGAAACUGAAGCCAAAACCAGGCAUCCACUAAACCGAAGGAGGGCCAAGGCCGUGUGUCGUUAUAGGAACACCGUGACUUCCCACAAAAUCAAGCUAAGUACAAUCUUUUUAUUCAUUUGGAGUAACUUUAAGUGUUUCCUUUGCAGGUCGAAUUUCGUUAUUCCUGUGGCUGAAGUUACGAGACAUUCUUAAUCUUACUUUUUUACAGAAAUUAUCUACAUCAUUGGGAUGUCGCUACUGCGAGUUUCUAUCUGAGUUUCUGUUUCCAGAAGUUCUACUGAAAUAUCAUAAUCAUAUACUGAGUUUCUGUUUCCAGAAGUUCUACUGAAAUAUCAUAAUCAUAUACUGUGUUAAUUUUAUCAUUUUGGGUGAUUAUUAAUCCUUUACGUAACAAAUCAUAUUAACAGUGAAUAUGCGUUUACGCAGUGGACGUCUGUAUUUAUACAGAUGCAUGGAUAGGGUCAUUAGGCACAGUAGUGAUAAGAAAACACACAAAAACAAGUGGAACACCCGUACAAAUCUAGAUAAAUUAGAGGUAACACUAUUUCGGGUCAAACAAUAAAAGCUCCUUUGCAAAGUCCUGAUCGCAGUUUAGCCUUGAGUUUUUUUGAGUUAUAUGCUUAAAAUAUCGAACCUUAAUGACUCAACUUAACUUUAAAAAAUACGGCUGAGUUGCAAGGAAUAACAUGUCUAUAAAAAACUUUCAUUAGGCUAAAUGCGCAGACCAGGAUCCCUCACUAUUUCAAAUUUUAGCAAAGAAUGAAGUAAACAACAGCAAGUAGAAACAGUUAAUAUUGAAUGCAGUAGAGAUAACUUGUUUUAAUAGUAAUCACUCAAUUCUGUAUAGUUCAAGUCAUUCAUACGUUCGUUGCUUUAUACGUAACUAGCAGCAACAUAAUGCUAAAAACACACAAUACGUUGCCGAUGGUAAUAAAGAGAAGAAUCAAACAAAUCAUGGUUAAGCAAACUCGGUUACUGUGUCCUCUAGUCAACGGUCAGGGUCAGUUAAAUCUGCCGAGUAUAGCAAGCAAAGCACAUUCCACAUAAGCGACUUCAGCGGAGAAGAAAAACGAUGUUGGAUCACUUAUACCAUACCUUUUUUUUUCAUGCCAAUACCUUUUUGAAUUAAAAAGGAAUUUCCCUAUGAAUCACACGACCGUAUCAAGUAAUCAGAGCAGGUUCUCGUUUUUUUAAUACAUAAGUUAUUAUAAGUAGUGGUGGAUUAAGCCCGACUGUACGCGCUGUAAAAAUUAGAAUACCUUGUUUUUAUGCCUUUAGUCCACGUAAUAUCCUGUAUUUACGGACUCACCAUCUGUUUUUCGAAUUUCCCUAUUGAGACGAACUUCCCUAUUGAGAAGUCCAGAUAAGCGAGCGCUUACAGAUACCUCUAUAGUUAUAAAAAACAUUGAUCUGUAUCGAGCGUAAUUGUAAGAUAUCCAUCUAAGGGUAUACAAAAUAUUAUCUUACCUCCUGCAAAAUAAGGUGUGUUUAUCAAAGGAAAAUUCUAUAAACCUUCAAACAUAUUAAAAUCCGUUUUGAACAAAAAGAGACAGUUAAUCAAAUAAUAACUUAUAUAGAGGAACAAAUCAUUCGUCUCAUAAAUCGUGAAAUUGUUCAACGACCCAACAGAAUUCUCCCACAACCGCAGUCGCAGUUUGCACGCAAAAUCUCGAGACGCAUGCACCCUCGAAUGUCUUAGUGCGUGUAAAAAGACUUUGCUGGGAUCUGAAAUUUUAAUCCUUCCUGACACUCUGAAAUAUAACGAUUUCUGCGAACAAAGCCCUAGACACAGUUGACUCGCAGCAACAAGUUAAUCUAGUAAUCCACAAAACCUGUACAUAUAAAUAUCGCAUUUUUUUUUAUUGUUGCUAAUUUUUAAUCACGCCCAAUCAGUCGUAGAUGAAUCUCUCUUAUACUCUAUCUAAAGUAAUAUCCGUAAAGUCAUUCAAGCAGAGGUGAUUCAGCAGAAAUUUUUUUUUUUAUCUUUUAUCUGAAUACCAGGAAGUUUCUCCACUAGCGAGUGAUCUCUGGGAGAAAAACGGAUGUCAUUGAAAACAAAAUACGGUCUAAGGACAAACAUAAAGCUAUAUACGUACCUUCGUAUAGAACCCCAAUGAAAUUUUAAAAUAGAGACAAAUGACGAAGUUGAAAAAUGUUAGUAAUAGGAAUCAUUAGGAAAUCAAAUAAGCCCAUAUAAUUUUUCCCUCAAACGUCAUGCCAUAAAAGAUCGGACUUGGCGUAUCUGCGUAGAUUUCUGUUGCUUAAACAAGGAAACGACUCCCGAUAGUUUCCAGUGCCAUGUACCGACGACAUCUUAUCUCUGUUAGGUUAGAAUAAAUUUUUCACCAGCUUGGACUUACUUAAAGGCUUUUUUCCAGAUACCAUUACCUAAGUGAUUGUACCUCAUACACCGUUUUCAGCACACUCAGGGGACAUUAUCAAUUUUUACUUAUGCCUCCAGCUUACGUUGCGCCCCAAUUACAAUAUAGUGUUUGGAGACUUUUAGGGGAUACCCAACAUGCCUAUUGGUUGGUCUUGUAAUCCUUUCUAAUACCUUUGAAGUACAUUCACAUAAAGUAGAGCUAGUGCUACAGAGACAAAGACAAAUAAUCUCAGAGUAAAAUAUCUAAAUGUGAGUUUUAAAAAACCGAACAUGUUUAUCUAGGUUUUAUGUGUCUAGUCAAGGUCUUAAAAGUAGUCCAUGGAAAGGUGUCGGCUAUUCAUAACUUCCGGUACCUAUUAACGUAAAAGGGGGAUACAGCACUUUUGCGCUGUAGUGGGUAUUACAAUCGUAUGUAAAUAUGUAACUCUUCAAUCAUAGCAGCUCCUUUAACAGAUCUUACGAAGAAGAGCGUAGAUUUAUUAUGGUCUAAAAAGCAUCAACAGGCGUUCGAUAUCUUAAAAGCGGAAUAAUGCAGCUCACCUAACUUAAAAAUCCCUGAUUUAAAUAAGGAUUUUUUUUUUUUAUUGCAACAGACGCCCAGACCAAGGGGUAAGAGGGGUACUACUUCAGCAAUAUGAUAAACAGUUCUUCCCUAUAGCUUUUUAUUCACGUAAACUAAAGCCCUCUGAAAGUAAAUAUGCAGUAAUAGGCAAGGAAGGGCUAGGUAUCGUUAACUCACUAAUACAUUUCAAGUUCAUAAUCUACGGCAAAGAUGUUAAAAUCCUUACUGACCAUAAGUCACUUACCGAGUUUUUCAAAGGCCUUAAUCACAGUCCCAAAGGAACUCGUUGGCAAAUGAUCAUUCAGGUCUUUGGAGCCAAGUUAAGAUAUCUAACUGGGAAAGCAAUUAUCAUAGCUGACGCAUUAUCCCGCAAUCCCGCACCAUACUGCAAAGAACCAUUAAUUGGACUAAAAGAUAUAGAAACAUCCGUGCCUAUUGUUAAAACCGUAUCUAAACAAGAAAAUUCCUUAACCCAAGAGAUCGCGAGCAUUGAAUAUCUGGGUUGGAGCGCCGAACUGUUACAAACUGAACAAAGCAAGAGUCAACAGCAAUAAGCAAAACAAUAAACACUUCGAACGGAAACAGGGUCAGCAGCUAAGCAAAACAAUAAACACUUUGAACGGAAACAAGGGUCAGCAGCUAAGCAAGACAAUAAACACUUCGAACAGAAACCCUAAAGCAAAAGUAUAUUUAAAGUAUGUGUAUCGGAAUAAUGUAAUCAAAUGUAAUAUUAUAUGUAGGUCCGUGACGAGGAAAACCCGAAGAACACAGCAGAUGACUAACGACCAGGUAGUAAUAAUAAUCUCUUCUAUACCAAUCGUCCUAAACUGGUUGCAUUCCGUCAUCCAGGGUUCUCUAUUAUGUCACAGAAAGCCAAAUCACUGUUUUACUGGCCUACAAUGCUUACAGAUAUAAAAAGCACAUAACUAAUUGUAACAUGUGUCAUGAAAACAAAGGAUACACUUAAGACACCUGUCAGUUUAGGGGCCUAUCCUGUGCCAAAUCAAUCCUUGAAAGAAUAUACGUAGAGUUAUUAACAGAAUUACGAGUCUGACAGAGGAAAUAAAUACUUCUUAGUGUUAAUAGUUCCUUGACCCGUUAUAUAGAAUUAAUAGCACUAAAAACAAACACACCGCAAUUGAGUGCGCUAGGAAUAUUUAUGAGUGCUAAAUCAGUAAACAUGGAAUUCAACACAUAAUAAUCUGUGACUUGGGUGGCGUAAAUCAAUAAUAAUCUCCUUAACUCGUUGUGUGAAUUCCUUUCCAUUAUGAAAACCAUAUUUUAUCACCCAGAGUCAAUAGGUUUGGUAGAACGGAUAAAUAAAAAAGUGUCAAUGUCUUACGAGUUACAACUCGUGAUAUUGGAUCCGAACUGGAUUAUAGCGGUUCUCGCGGUUUUAAAUACCUUUGUCAUUCAUAUCUUGUAUCUAUAGAAAUGAUACCGCAAGUAGCCUUAUACGGUACGCCGCUAGGACACUUUUCCACAUAUUCAAGCCAACCAUUAAUUUAUCAAAUAUAAAAAAUAAAUAAAUAAAUAAAAUAAAUAAAUAAAAUAAAAUAAGUAUGGAUACAAGUGGAGCCAAUAUAAUACAUUCCGUAAGAAGUCGGAAGGGUUACAAAUUAUAAAAUAAAAAAAAAAAGGAAUCACGAUAAAAUUAAUAAGCAAAACGUAACCAUAGGUUAAUUAAAUAUCCAAAUAUAUAUGCAUAAAGAUUUGGACUCUAACUUAACGCUUUAGUAAUGACAAAUAAGCUUAAAGUUCAAACACAUAUCAAAACCUACUGACAUAUUGUCUGUCCUGGUGAUUUAUAUUCGUAGUCAAUGAAAAAAAAAAAUAAAUAAAUAAAAUAAAAUAAAAUAAAAUAGAUUUUAAAGUCAGGAAGUCUAGAAGUGAAAAUUUAUAUCUAUGGAAUAAUCCUAUAUGGAUCUUACAGGGCAAAUAAUAUAUAUAGAAUUUGUAUGGAAACCUUUUUUCAUUAGUUUGAAUAAGGAAUAUCUAAUUUAACAUAAUUACAUUUAUUUACAAUCAUGCAGAUUUCCAACAUGAAACUAAUAUAUUGUUCAAUUUUGAUACUGUUUUUUUUUCAGACAUUCUUCUCAUGUGGGUGGAGAAUUAAAACAAAAAAAUAUCAUUUGAAAAUACUAAAGUCGUAUCUUUUACAGCAAGUAACGUAACUCUUAGCUGGCUGAGAGCAAUCUCCUGCCACGGGACGACGUCAUCAGUUCUGAAGGCUGAUUAAUGGAACCUGGUUACAGUAUCCUGCAGUACGAGAGUUUCACAUCGCAACUUCAAAAAAUCGUUCGUCGCUGCGGACAACUGCAGUCAAGUAACAACCGCCUACAAUGUGAAAGGAAUAAGCACCAUCAUAAGUGAACGAGCUUAUUUCAUGGACUUCUUCGACCGACACCCGUAUCCCGUCGUUAAUCUCGUUUUAAUGCGGAAUGCUCCGGCGGCUGUCGGAAAUCUACUACAAAAGGGACAUACCUCCGACAAUUACGACCAGAAGGAUAUUCAACUCUACGUUGCUGGCGAAGGACUCGUGCUAGAGAUGAUUUUAUUCAUCGCGAACGUAUUCGUGUGGCUUAGGAUGCAGAGAACAAGUAUGAGGCCGGAAUAGAACGUUGGACCCCGCCAGGCAAUUUUCCCCUUGUUUUAACCAUUUGGAAUUGGCCAUUUCAUUUGGCUAUAGGUGGUUGUCUGGAACUGUGUAAUGGACGAAAAGUUGUUCGAACGCUAGUUAAAUGUGUAGUAGUAUAACCUCGGUCAUGUAUCCUAUAUAUAAAGUAUCAUGUAUCCUAUAUAUAAAUGAUCAUAAAUAACAGAAUCUAAAUAUAUCUUUGCGUGUACGCACUAGGAAUCUAUUUAAAGUACUCAUAUAUUAAUCAUAAUUAUAUGAAUCCAUAUACAUAUGUAUAAAUAAAUCAGGUAGCCUAUAAUCAAUCUGUUACAUUUUAUCUUACCAAUAACUGCAGAUAUAUAACAGUUAGCAUAAAAAUCAACGAAUCAAUCAGCAUAAACAUUAAUAAUUUUUAUCAAUUCAUAUAUGAAAUUUUUAUCAGUUAAAAUAUGAUUUUUAUCAUGUUAAUCCUUAUUCUAUGCAAUUAUCAAGAGUACAUUAGUAUUUUCUGUAGCAUAUGUAUCUUAAAGAGAUGAAGUGAAAAACUGUACCAGUAUAUAUCACGUGAUCACUAUUACUUAUGAAUACUAUCAUAUGCAUAUUAUGUUUUAUAUCUUAUUACUUGAAUCUGUAUUUGUGUACACCAUGAAUUUUUUUUACUUAUAAGUAUUUUCUAUAUAUCUAUAUAUAUUCACAUAGUGUCUGUAUCACACUCCUAUAAGUCAAAUGCAAGUCAAGUUUGAGUAAUAUUCAGUAGUUGGUUUUGGUAGCUGACCGAGCUUUUAUGUAAGUGAUUACAUAAUAUGGAAUGUUACUCCAUAUAUAUAAAAAACUAAAACUAAAGAGGUCAACCAGAUUGCUUGCAGGAAUGUGAUCAGACCAGAGACGCUAAGAUGACGUAUACAAUAAAGUAGGCCGUCACCUGUGGUCAUUCAUUUGUUUUGAAAACAUUAGUCCAAGCUCCCUGCUUGAGACAACUACCGCGACCUAUAAUUCAAACGGCCUACGUGAUUAGUAAUGUGUCUCAUUUUGUAUGUAUGUUCGUAUGUUCGAGCUACUGUCUGCUUCCUUUAUGACUUGUAACCGAGAUGGUAGACAAGACAGAACAGAAUUAGCCAUCAUCGUUGGCAGAAGCGAUCAAGCCAUCGUCAUUAGAAGACCUGUACAAUCCUACCUGAUCUUCACCAUGUUAUCUCAGAGAAUAUAAGUAUUUUUUAUA
Long non-coding RNA from Macrobrachium nipponense, 7353 nucleotides. RefSeq lists it as uncharacterized. Lineage: Eukaryota; Metazoa; Arthropoda; Malacostraca; Decapoda; Palaemonidae. The record is from RefSeq and is a predicted model, not a curated record. The transcript has 2 exons.